RNAcentral lists this ribosomal RNA (427 nucleotides) under uncultured Allobrachymonas sp. RNAcentral's name for it is "bacterial SSU rRNA". It matches the Rfam family "Bacterial small subunit ribosomal RNA", at positions 948 to 1382 of the family's 1533-position model. Lineage: Bacteria; Pseudomonadati; Pseudomonadota; Betaproteobacteria; Burkholderiales; Comamonadaceae. The record is from RNAcentral.
AAUUCGAUGCAACGCGAAAACCUUACCACCUUGACAUGGCAGGAAUCCCGAAGAGAUUUGGGAGUGCUCGAAAGAGAACCUGCACACAGGUGCUGCAUGGCUGUCGUCAGCUCGUGUCGUGAGAUGUUGGGUUAAGUCCCGCAACGAGCGCAACCCUUGCCAUUAGUUGCUACGAAAGGGCACUCUAAUGGGACUGCCGGUGACAAACCGGAGGAAGGUGGGGAUGACGUCAAGUCCUCAUGGCCCUUAUAGGUGGGGCUACACACGUCAUACAAUGGCCGGUACAGAGGGUAGCCAACCCGCGAGGGGGAGCCAAUCCCACAAAGCCGGUCGUAGUCCGGAUCGCAGUCUGCAACUCGACUGCGUGAAGUCGGAAUCGCUAGUAAUCGCGGAUCAGCAUGUCGCGGUGAAUACGUUCCCGGGUCUU